CCCUUAGAUGUUCUGGGCCGCACGCGCGCUACACUGAUACGCUCAACGAGCUCCUUGGCCGAAAGGUCCGGGUAAUCUUUGAAAUCGUAUCGUGAUGGGGAUAGAACAUUGCAAUUUUUGUUCUUCAACGAGGAAUGCCUAGUAAGCGCGAGUCAUCAUCUCGCGUUGAUUACGUCCCUGCCCUUUGUACACACCGCCCGUCGCACCUACCGAUUGAAUGUUUCGGUGAAGAUUCCGGAUAGGACUGAUUUGAUUUAUUUCAUUUCUGACCUAAAAGCUAUCUAAACCUCAACAUUUAGAGGAAGGUGAAGUCGUAACA
Molecule: ribosomal RNA, 319 nt
Filed under: uncultured eukaryote
Lineage: Eukaryota
Description: partial 18S ribosomal RNA
Rfam family: Eukaryotic small subunit ribosomal RNA
Source: RNAcentral